AAAGUCGUAACAAGGUUUCCGUAGGUGAACCUGCGGAAGGAUCAUUCACAAUAAGUGUUUAAUGGCACUUUCAAUCCAUUACCCACCUUGUGUGCAUUGUCGAGAGGAUCUCUUUCAAAGAGAUUCUCUUUUAUACAUACUCUGUUCUUUCAGUAUCAGUCUACUUUUUUGAGUCAUAAAACUCGAAUACAACUUUCAACAACGGAUCUCUUGGCUCUC
RNAcentral lists this unclassified non-coding RNA (219 nucleotides) under Mucoromycotina sp. RNAcentral describes it as "partial contains small subunit ribosomal RNA, internal transcribed spacer 1, and 5.8S ribosomal RNA". The stretch from base 1 to 47 matches the Rfam family "Eukaryotic small subunit ribosomal RNA", at positions 1785 to 1831 of the family's 1831-position model. The record is from RNAcentral. Lineage: Eukaryota; Fungi; Mucoromycota.